This is a small nuclear RNA of Octodon degus (degu), 107 nucleotides long. The record is from Ensembl. NCBI's taxonomy places the organism in Eukaryota, Metazoa, Chordata, Mammalia, Rodentia, Octodontidae.
GUGCUCGCUUGGGCAGCGCAUAUACUAAAACUGGAACGAUACAGAGAAGAUGAGCAUGGCCCUCGCUCAAGGAUAGCACGCAAGUUUGUGAAGCAUUCCAUAUUUUA